This 458-nucleotide ribosomal RNA is filed under the name uncultured bacterium. RNAcentral describes it as "partial 16S ribosomal RNA". It matches the Rfam family "Bacterial small subunit ribosomal RNA", at positions 338 to 795 of the family's 1533-position model. The record is from RNAcentral.
CCUACGGGAGGCAGCAGUGAGGAAUAUUGGUCAAUGGGCGAGAGCCUGAACCAGCCAAGUCGCGUGAGGGAGUACUGCCCUAUGGGUUGUAAACCUCUUUUGUCGGGGAGCAAAAGCCGGACGUGUCCGGCUGUGAGAGUACCCGAAGAAAAAGCAUCGGCUAACUCCGUGCCAGCGGCCGCGGUAAUACGGAGGAUGCGAGCGUUAUCCGGAUUUAUUGGGUUAAAAGGGGGCGCAGGCGGAUUUUUAAGUCAGCGGUCAAAUCGUGGGGCUCAACCCCAUCCAGCCGUUGAAACUGGGGAUCUAGAGUGUGCGAGAGGUAUGCGGAAUGCGUGGUGUAGCGGUGAAAUGCAUAGAUAUCACGAAGAACUCCGGUUGCGAAGGCAGCUUACUAAACUGCCACUGACAUUGAUGCUCGAAAGUGUGGGUAUCAAACAGGAUUAGACACCCGUGUAGUC